RNAcentral lists this ribosomal RNA (127 nucleotides) under Lottia gigantea (owl limpet). Lineage: Eukaryota; Metazoa; Mollusca; Gastropoda; Lottiidae. The record is from RNAcentral.
CCUAAUGUCUCAUACCACGUUGAAAGUACCAGUUCUCGUCCGAUCACUGAAGAAAAGCAACGUCGGGCUUGGUUAGUAACCUGUAUUUGGAUGGGUGACCGCCAGGGCACUCUGAGUGCUGUACGGG